Panicum virgatum (switchgrass) is the source of this 792-nucleotide long non-coding RNA. RefSeq lists it as uncharacterized. The record is from RefSeq and is a predicted model, not a curated record. Lineage: Eukaryota; Viridiplantae; Streptophyta; Magnoliopsida; Poales; Poaceae. The transcript is spliced from 2 exons.
CAGUCCCUCCGUGCACAUACCCACUCCCUACUACGGUGGGAUGAGCGGUAUGUUCCGUACCAUCGCCGGGCCGGGAUGCUUUGUCAAGCUCGAGUUGUGUGUAUGGGGCUCCCAGCGAUGAAUGCACCUCCGUUGACUGCUUUUGUGGACCGUUGGAGGCCAGAGAUACAUUCCUUCCAUUUACCUUGCGGGGAGGUUACCAUCACUAUGCAAGAUGUCACGAUGAUUCUUGGACUACCUUUAGAGGGGAAUGCAGUGACCAGCAUUGUAUAGAGUGAUGGUUGGAGAGAUUUUGGUCGUCUGGAGAAAGAGAACAUCCAGCACCGGGCCCGGGCAAAAGUAGAUGACAAAAUGCCGAACCCCGAGUCGCGAUCGCGACGCGGAAGGGCGGAAGUCUGGAAAACCGGGCACUACUCGGAUCCCGAGUGGAUGUUAGGUUAUUUUCAGGGGGGCUUACUGGACAAGGGGCCUGGUCGCAGUUAUCUAAAGAGGAAGAGAAAGAUCAUAUGAAGAUCAAGUGCCGAGAGUUGGAGAGUAUGGUGCUGGAGUUGUUUGCCAAAAGAGGUUGGAAUUUUAGAAGCAGAGUGACCUGUUAGUGGGAUGGGGGCAUGAUCCAAGGGCGUAGUGCGAUGAGAUUCUAGUGUUGUGGAACCUUGUUUAGUUUCGUUGGGUAGCGUUUGCUAUCCGCAGCCUGUGUGUUGCAUUACUGUGUCUGUUGGUUGUGGACCGUCGCAUGUGAUCGGUUGAGGCCGGAUUUUCCUCAAUCUAAAAAAAAUCAAGAAGAUUGUGAAA